UACGAAGGGGGCUAGCGUUGCUCGGAUUCAUUGGGCGUAAAGGGUGUGUAGGUGGCGCGCUAAGUCGGGUGUGAAAUUUCGGAGCUUAACUCCGAAACUGCAUUCGAUACUGGCGUGCUUGAGGACUGGAGAGGAGACUGGAAUUCAUGGUGUAGCAGUGAAAUGCGUAGAGAUCAUGAGGAAGACCAGUGGCGAAGGCGGGUCUCUGGACAGUUCCUGACACUGAGACACGAAGGCCAGGGGAGCAAACGGG
RNAcentral lists this ribosomal RNA (253 nucleotides) under uncultured bacterium. RNAcentral's name for it is "partial 16S ribosomal RNA". It matches the Rfam family "Bacterial small subunit ribosomal RNA", at positions 524 to 776 of the family's 1533-position model. The record is from RNAcentral.